GCCAGGCCAGGUGCCUGCAGAAAUAGCACCAAUAAAGAGAACAGGGUGCCCAGGUAGACUUUUGUCUGGCCAAUGUUGAGGUAACGGGAAGACAUUUAAAUUGUCCAGCAGGCAGCUGAGAACAAGAGAUUCAGUCAUUUGUGUAGAGGUGGGGCCAAAAGAUGAGAUUUCGAAAAACAGUGUGGGAUGGAGGAAGCAGGUGGUUUGAAUCUUGUCCACAAUGCGGGGACUGAAAGGGGAAGUGGAGGCUGGAGGAGGCACCAGAAGAGCAGUUUCUGCAGAAUGCUGGAGGCAAAGCAGCUUGCAGGGUGCUAAUGCACUGAGCUGGUAGGAAGGGGAGGGGAGGAAAUGGGAGCUGUAGGGAGAGGCAGGAGUGGGAUGGGGAAAGCAGAACAGGUUUGGAGGACGAGGUUAACAUGCAAGGGGGGCGGGAAUCGCUGAGUGCCGGGCACUCAUGCCUUCUCUCCCCACACUUGUCCCUGCUCCAGCUCCAGCUGCCCAGCACAGGAUCCCCACCACCUCCCCUUUUCCUGCCCACGGAUCCCCCAGUGGUCUGGCUUCUGGCCCAAUGCUGGGUGCGCAGCUCUGACUUCCAGCUCCGUGAGCUGCAGUCUCAUCUUCUGAGGGGACACUUGAUGGCUCAGGUCAUUGUUGUGGCCACCAUGAGGUGCCUGCCGUCGAUACAUCCUAUCUUCAAGGGUUGCUGCAAAGAUCGAACGAGAUAACUAGUGGAUUCAACAGGGACAGGAAGGCCUGGCACCCAGCAGGUGGGCAGGGCGUAACUAACUGUUCAUUCAUCCACCUCCCUGGGCUCCCCACACUGCAGAAAACCAGAGACAAGUCAGCAGCACAGUGGAGCUUUCCGCGGGAGACAGAGCAUUUAAUGAGAGCAAGAGCUGGACAGUGUGGUCAGGAAUCGUCCCACCCAAGGAACCAGACACAUACUCGGUCCUUGAUGGGGUUUCCUGAGGCUCUCAUACUUUCUCCUGCCCUGGAAAAUGCCAUCCAGGAGCUCAUCUCUUUGCUACUGCCUCUCUUCCAGAGCAGCACAAGAAGGAAAUAAAAUGGACUUGCGGGGGAAAGAAGAUGCUUGUCUCUCAUGUCUGUCUCUUACAGGGGGGUUCUGAAGAUUCCCACAGCCUCUCUGGAGUUGUUGCCCCACUUUGGGGUCUUUGUCCGAGUAACUUCAAGUAGAUUGGCCCACGGGCAGGGGUUGUUUGCUGAGAGAUCACCAAGCGCUGCUCAAUCUCAACGAUCCUCUGUUGUCACCAGCCAUGGCUGUGAAGGCCAGUCAACAAAGGGAAGAUUUUACCCAGAGGAGCUCAAACGCUGGCAUGAAAGACUCUGAAGUGGCAUAGCCAGUGGAAAUUAACAGCUGUGUCCACUCUGGGCCUCAGGUGAGGGAGGGCCUAGAUAGCCCACUGUGGCCCCCAGAG
RNAcentral lists this long non-coding RNA (1436 nucleotides) under Homo sapiens (human). RNAcentral describes it as "non-protein coding lnc-TXNDC17-1:5". Lineage: Eukaryota; Metazoa; Chordata; Mammalia; Primates; Hominidae. The record is from RNAcentral.